CCUACGAGUGGCAGCAGUGGGGAAUAUUGCACAAUGGGGGAAACCCUGAUGCAGCGACGCCGCGUGAGUGAAGAAGUAGUUCGGUAUGUAAAGCUCUAUCAGCAGGGAAGAAAAUGACGGUGCCUGAUGAAGAAGCCCCGGCUAACUACGUGCCAGCAGCCGCGGUAAUACGUAGGGGGCAAGCGUUAUCCGGAUUUACUGGGUGUAAAGGGAGCGUAGACGGCAGCACAAGUCUGGAGUGAAAUGCCGGGGCUUAACCCCGGAACUGCUUGGGAAACUGUGCAGGUAGAGUGCAGGAGAGGUAAGUGGAAUUCCUAGUGUAGCGGUGAAAUGCGUAGAUAUUAGGAGGAACACCAGUGGCGAAGGCGGCUUACUGGACUGUAACUGACGUUGAGGCUCGAAAGCGUGGGGAGCAAACAGGAUUAGAUACCCGAGUAGUC
RNAcentral lists this ribosomal RNA (440 nucleotides) under uncultured bacterium. RNAcentral's name for it is "partial 16S ribosomal RNA". It matches the Rfam family "Bacterial small subunit ribosomal RNA", at positions 338 to 795 of the family's 1533-position model. The record is from RNAcentral.